GAUGAACGCUGGCGGCGUGCCUAAUACAUGCAAGUCGAGCGAACGGACGAGAAGCUUGCUUUUCUGAUGUUAGCGGCGGACGGGUGAGUAACACGUGGAUAACCUACCUAUAAGACUGGGAUAACUUCGGGAAACCGGAGCUAAUACCGGAUAAUAUUUUGAACCGCAUGGUUCAAAAGUGAAAGACGGUCUUGCUGUCACUUAUAGAUGGAUCCGCGCCGCAUUAGCUAGUUGGUAAGGUAACGGCUUACCAAGGCAACGAUGCAUAGCCGACCUGAGAGGGUGAUCGGCCACACUGGAACUGAGACACGGUCCAGACUCCUACGGGAGGCAGCAGUAGGGAAUCUUCCGCAAUGGGCGAAAGCCUGACGGAGCAACGCCGCGUGAGUGAUGAAGGUCUUCGGAUCGUAAAACUCUGUUAUUAGGGAAGAACAUAUGUGUAAGUAACUGUGCACAUCUUGGCGGUACCUAAUCAGAAAGCCACGGCUAACUACGUG
Molecule: ribosomal RNA, 497 nt
Filed under: uncultured bacterium
Lineage: Bacteria
Description: partial 16S ribosomal RNA
Rfam family: Bacterial small subunit ribosomal RNA
Source: RNAcentral